UGGUAGUGGGGGAUAACGUCCGGAAACGGGCGCUAAUACCGCAUACGUCCUGAGGGAGAAAGUGGGGGAUCUUCGGACCUCACGCUAUCAGAUGAGCCUAGGUCGGAUUAGCUAGUUGGUGGGGUAAAGGCCUACCAAGGCGACGAUCCGUAACUGGUCUGAGAGGAUGAUCAGUCACACUGGAACUGAGACACGGUCCAGACUCCUACGGGAGGCAGCAGUGGGGAAUAUUGGACAAUGGGCGAAAGCCUGAUCCAGCCAUGCCGCGUGUGUGAAGAAGGUCUUCGGAUUGUAAAGCACUUUAAGUUGGGAGGAAGGGCAGUAAGUUAAUACCUUGCUGUUUUGACGUUACCAACAGAAUAAGCACCGGCUAACUUCGUGCCAGCAGCCGCGGUAAUACGAAGGGUGCAAGCGUUAAUCGGAAUUACUGGGCGUAAAGCGCGCGUAGGUGGUUCAGCAAGUUGGAUGUGAAAUCCCCGGGCUCAACCUGGGAACUGCAUCCAAAACUACUGAGCUAGAGUACGGUAGAGGGUGGUGGAAUUUCCUGUGUAGCGGUGAAAUGCGUAGAUAUAGGAAGGAACACCAGUGGCGAAGGCGACCACCUGGACUGAUACUGACACUGAGGUGCGAAAGCGUGGGGAGCAAACAG
RNAcentral lists this ribosomal RNA (649 nucleotides) under Pseudomonas aeruginosa. RNAcentral's name for it is "bacterial SSU rRNA". It matches the Rfam family "Bacterial small subunit ribosomal RNA", at positions 131 to 775 of the family's 1533-position model. The record is from RNAcentral. Lineage: Bacteria; Pseudomonadati; Pseudomonadota; Gammaproteobacteria; Pseudomonadales; Pseudomonadaceae.